UUCUCGUAGUGGCAACGGUUGUUUUGACGUA
This 31-nucleotide non-coding RNA is filed under the name Azadinium spinosum. The record is from RNAcentral. Lineage: Eukaryota; Dinophyceae; Gonyaulacales; Amphidomataceae.